This 42-nucleotide ribosomal RNA is filed under the name Sempervivum arachnoideum. Its description in RNAcentral is "partial 26S ribosomal RNA". Lineage: Eukaryota; Viridiplantae; Streptophyta; Magnoliopsida; Saxifragales; Crassulaceae. The record is from RNAcentral.
GGGACCCCAGGUCAGGCGAGACUACCCGCUGAGUUUAAGCAU